This 175-nucleotide ribosomal RNA is filed under the name uncultured bacterium. RNAcentral's name for it is "partial 16S ribosomal RNA". It matches the Rfam family "Bacterial small subunit ribosomal RNA", at positions 1326 to 1500 of the family's 1533-position model. The record is from RNAcentral.
UCGGAAUUGCUAGUAAUCGCGGAUCAGCAUGCCGCGGUGAAUACGUUCCCGGGCCUUGUACACACCGCCCGUCACACCAUGAGAGUCGGGAACACCCGAAGUCCGUAGUCUAACCGCAAGGAGGACGCGGCCGAAGGUGGGCUUGAUAAUUGGGGUGAAGUCGUAACAAGGUAUC